RNAcentral lists this ribosomal RNA (1369 nucleotides) under uncultured bacterium. RNAcentral's name for it is "bacterial SSU rRNA". It matches the Rfam family "Bacterial small subunit ribosomal RNA", at positions 28 to 1381 of the family's 1533-position model. The record is from RNAcentral.
AUUGAACGCUGGCGGUAGGCUUAACACAUGCAAGUCGUGCGAGAAAGUAUCUUCGGAUAUGAGUAGAGCGGCGGACGGGUGAGUAACGCGUAGGAAUCUACCUAGUAGAAGGGGAUAGCCCGGGGAAACCCGGAUUAAUACCGUAUACCUCCUUCGGGAGAAAGAAGGCCUCUCUUUGAAGCUUUCGCUAUUAGAUGAGCCUGCGUAAGAUUAGCUUGUUGGUGAGGUAAAGGCUCACCAAGGCGACGAUCUUUAGCUGGUCUGAGAGGACGAUCAGCCACAUUGGGACUGAGACACGGCCCAGACUCCUACGGGAGGCAGCAGUGGGGAAUAUUGGACAAUGGGCGCAAGCCUGAUCCAGCCAUACCGCGUGUGUGAAGAAGGCCUUCGGGUUGUAAAGCACUUUAAGCAGGGAGAAAAAGUUAUAAGUUAAUACCUUAUAACCCUGAUGUUACCUGCAGAAUAAGCACCGGCUAAUUCCGUGCCAGCAGCCGCGGUAAUACGGAAGGUGCAAGCGUUAAUCGGAAUUACUGGGCGUAAAGCGCGCGUAGGUGGUUUGUUAAGUUGGAUGUGAAAGCCCUGGGCUCAACCUAGGAACUGCAUCCAAAACUAACUCACUAGAGUACGAUAGAGGGAGGUAGAAUUCAUAGUGUAGCGGUGGAAUGCGUAGAUAUUAUGAAGAAUACCAGUGGCGAAGGCGGCCUCCUGGAUCUGUACUGACACUGAGGUGCGAAAGCGUGGGUAGCGAACAGGAUUAGAUACCCUGGUAGUCCACGCCGUAAACGAUGACAAACUAGCUGUUGGGAGACUAUGUCUUUCAGUGGCGCAGCUAACGCUUUAAGUUGUCCGCCUGGGGAGUACGGCCGCAAGGCUAAAAACUCAAAAUGAAUUGACGGGGACCCGCACAAGCGGUGGAGCAUGUGGUUUAAUUCGAUGCAAACGCGAAAAAACCUUACCUACUCUUGACAUACUUGGAGGCUCUUGUAAAUGAGAGUGUGCCUUUUGGAACCAAGAUACAGGUGCUGCAUGGCUGUCGUCAGCUCGUGUCGUGAGAUGUUCCGUUAAGUCGGAUAACGAGCGCGAACCCUUACCCUUAUUUGCCAGCGAUUCGGUCGGGAACUAUAAGGGGACUGCCGGUGAUAAACCGGAGGAAAGGUGAGGACGACGUCGAAGUCAUCAUGGCCCUUACGAGUAGGGCUACGCACGUGCUACAAUGGGAGAUACGGACGAACGCGAAGCCGCGAGGUGGUGCUAAUCCUAAAAAGUUCUUUCGUAGUCCGGAUUGGAGUCUGCAACUCGAACUCCAUGAAAGUCGGAAUCGCUAGUAAUCGCGGAUCAGCGUGCCGCGGUGAAAUACGUUCUCGGGUCU